This 783-nucleotide small RNA is filed under the name Pan troglodytes (chimpanzee). Its description in RNAcentral is "retained intron". Lineage: Eukaryota; Metazoa; Chordata; Mammalia; Primates; Hominidae. The record is from RNAcentral.
UGCGGCUGGAAGAACAUGGCAAAGUGGUGCUGGUGCUGGAGAGAGCCUCUCAGGGCGCCGGCCCUUCCCGACCCCCAACCCCAGGCAGGAACCGGUAAUACACCUGCCAUGCUCCCUCUCCACACUGUCCCUCCUUUCAUUUCCCAAUCUUUGCUCCCUUCCCCUGUGUCAUAUCCCUGCCCUCUGGCCACUUGUGGAUGGAGAGGUAUUGAGGGACCAGGAUGUGCCUGCUGAGCCAGUCUCCUCCCUGCCCUAAGGUGGGACAGGGCUGGCUAAUCGAGAAACAUGAUGUAAUUGAUUAUUGAUGUCUGCCCAGGUGUGGAAGUGGGGAGUAGUGGCACCAGUGCCAAAGAUUGGCCAUUUCUGCUAGGUAUACAGUGAUGUCUGGCACCCCAGAGAAGAUCCUAGAGCUUCUGUUGGAGGCCAUGGGACCAGAUUCCAGUGCUCAUGACCCAACAGGUGGGUGGCCCUGCUUGGAUGUUGUGGUUCCCUUGACUGGUGCCCACCUUCCAUGUGGAGCCUGCGGGUGGCAGCGAGCAGGAGCGCAGCACCUACGUCUGCAACAAGAGGCAGCAGAUCUUGCGGCUGGUCAGCCAGUGGGUGGCCCUGUAUGGCUCCAUGCUCCACACUGACCCUGUGGCCACCAGCUUCCUCCAGAAACUCUCAGACCUGGUGGGCAGGGACACCCGACUCAGCAACCUGCUAAGGGAGCAGUGGCCAGAGAGGCGGCGAUGCCACAGGUUGGAGAAUGGCUGUGGGAAUGCAUCUCCUCAGAUGAAGGUG